GACGAACGCUGGCGGCGUGCUUAACACAUGCAAGUCGAACGGAAAGGCCCUGCUUUUGUGGGGUGCUCGAGUGGCGAACGGGUGAGUAACACGUGAGUAACCUGCCCUUGACUUUGGGAUAACUUCAGGAAACUGGGGCUAAUACCGGAUAGGAGCUCCUGCUGCAUGGUGGGGGUUGGAAAGUUUCGGCGGUUGGGGAUGGACUCGCGGCUUAUCAGCUUGUUGGUGGGGUAGUGGCUUACCAAGGCUUUGACGGGUAGCCGGCCUGAGAGGGUGACCGGCCACAUUGGGACUGAGAUACGGCCCAGACUACUACGGGAGGCAGCAGUGGGGAAUAUUGCACAAUGGGCUGAAGCCUGAUGCAGCAACGCCGCGUGCGGGAUGACGGCCUUCGGGUUGUAAACCGCUUUCGCCUGUGACGAAGCGUGAGUGACGGUAAUGGGUAAAGAAGCACCGGCUAACUACGUG
RNAcentral lists this ribosomal RNA (468 nucleotides) under uncultured bacterium. RNAcentral describes it as "partial 16S ribosomal RNA". It matches the Rfam family "Bacterial small subunit ribosomal RNA", at positions 28 to 507 of the family's 1533-position model. The record is from RNAcentral.